This 253-nucleotide ribosomal RNA is filed under the name uncultured bacterium. RNAcentral's name for it is "partial 16S ribosomal RNA". It matches the Rfam family "Bacterial small subunit ribosomal RNA", at positions 524 to 776 of the family's 1533-position model. The record is from RNAcentral.
UACGAAGGGGGCUAGCGUUGCUCGGAAUCACUGGGCGUAAAGGGUGCGUAGGCGGGUCUUUAAGUCAGGGGUGAAAUCCUGGAGCUCAACUCCAGAACUGCCUUUGAUACUGAGGAUCUUGAGUCCGGGAGAGGUGAGUGGAACUGCGAGUGUAGAGGUGAAAUUCGUAGAUAUUCGCAAGAACACCAGUGGCGAAGGCGGCUUCCUGGACAGUGACUGACGCUGAGACGCGAAAGCGUGGGGAGCAAACAGG